UACAGAGGGUGCGAGCGUUGUUCGGAAUUACUGGGCGUAAAGCGCGCGCAGGCGGCCCUUUAAGUCCGUCGGUCAAAUGCCGGGGCUCAACCCCGAGCGUGCCGAGGAUACUGGAGGGCUGGAGACACGUAGAGGCAAGCGGAAUUCCGGGUGUAGCGGUGGAAUGCGUAGAUAUCAGGAGGAACACCAAUUGCGAAGGCAGCUCGCUGGGACGUUACUGACGCUGAGACGCGAAAGCGUGGGGAGCAAACAGG
Molecule: ribosomal RNA, 254 nt
Filed under: uncultured bacterium
Lineage: Bacteria
Description: partial 16S ribosomal RNA
Rfam family: Bacterial small subunit ribosomal RNA
Source: RNAcentral